This 349-nucleotide unclassified non-coding RNA is filed under the name soil metagenome. RNAcentral describes it as "partial contains 5.8S ribosomal RNA, internal transcribed spacer 2, and large subunit ribosomal RNA". The stretch from base 1 to 120 matches the Rfam family "5.8S ribosomal RNA", at positions 35 to 154 of the family's 154-position model. The record is from RNAcentral.
GAUGAAGAACGUAGCGAAAUGCGAUAAGUAAUGUGAAUUGCAGAAUUCAGUGAAUCAUCGAAUCUUUGAACGCACAUUGCGCCCGCCAGUAUUCUGGCGGGCAUGCCUGUCUGAGCGUCAUUUCAACCCUCAUGCCCCUAGGGCGUGGUGUUGGGGAUCGGCCAAAGCCCGCGAGGGACGGCCGGCCCCUAAAUCUAGUGGCGGACCCGUCGUGGCCUCCUCUGCGAAGUAGUGAUAUUCCGCAUCGGAGAGCGAUGAGCCCCUGCCGUUAAACCCCCAACUUCUGAACGUUUGACCUCGGAUCAGGUAGGAAUACCCGCUGAACUUAAGCAUAUCAAUAAGCGGAGGA